UCAUUUGCUAAUCCAAAAAAA
This is a non-coding RNA of Caenorhabditis elegans, 21 nucleotides long. NCBI's taxonomy places the organism in Eukaryota, Metazoa, Nematoda, Chromadorea, Rhabditida, Rhabditidae. The record is from Ensembl.